Molecule: unclassified non-coding RNA, 346 nt
Filed under: soil metagenome
Description: partial contains 5.8S ribosomal RNA, internal transcribed spacer 2, and large subunit ribosomal RNA
Rfam family: 5.8S ribosomal RNA (bases 1-120)
Source: RNAcentral
GAUGAAGAACGCAGUGAAAUGCGAUAAUUAAUGUGAAUUGCAGAAUUCAGUGAAUCAUCGAGUCUUUGAACGCACAUUGCGCCCCCUGGUAUUCCGGGGGGCAUGCCUGUCCGAGCGUCAUUGCUGCCCUCAAGCACGGCUUGUGUGUUGGGCCCCGUCCUCCGAUCCCGGGGGACGGGCCCGAAAGGCAGCGGCGGCACCGCGUCCGGUCCUCGAGCGUAUGGGGCUUUGUCACCCGCUCUGUAGGCCCGGCCGGCGCUUGCCGAUCAACCCAAAUUUUUAUCCAGGUUGACCUCGGAUCAGGUAGGGAUACCCGCUGAACUUAAGCAUAUCAAUAAGCGGAGGA